RNAcentral lists this non-coding RNA (149 nucleotides) under Amborella trichopoda. The record is from Rfam by way of RNAcentral. Lineage: Eukaryota; Viridiplantae; Streptophyta; Magnoliopsida; Amborellales; Amborellaceae.
GACAAUAGGCUGAUCUUCCCCAUGAGUUGACAUCGACGGGAAGGUUUGGCACCUCGAUGUCCGCUCUUCACCACCUGGGGCGGUAGGACCUUAUUUUAAUUAGUUGACAGUUUAUAUUAGUAUUAGUUGAGAAUUUUGUGAAAGAUUUU